Molecule: microRNA precursor, 86 nt
Filed under: Cricetulus griseus (Chinese hamster)
Lineage: Eukaryota; Metazoa; Chordata; Mammalia; Rodentia; Cricetidae
Description: mir-153
Source: RNAcentral
UUAUUAUCCAUUUUUAAAAAUUUCUAUUUACCUAAAAAAUGCAAAAUUAAUUUAGAUUAAUAACACAUUUCAAAACAAAUGAAUUA